This 711-nucleotide ribosomal RNA is filed under the name Pseudomonadota bacterium. RNAcentral describes it as "bacterial SSU rRNA". It matches the Rfam family "Bacterial small subunit ribosomal RNA", at positions 28 to 729 of the family's 1533-position model. The record is from RNAcentral. Lineage: Bacteria; Pseudomonadati; Pseudomonadota.
AUUGAACGCUGGCGGAAUGCUUUACACAUGCAAGUCGAACGGCAGCACGGAGAGCUUGCUCUCUGGUGGCGAGUGGCGAACGGGUGAGUAAUAUAUCGGAACGUGUCCAAUAAUGGGGGAUAACGAGUCGAAAGAUUCGCUAAUACCGCAUACGCCCUACGGGGGAAAGCAGGGGAUCGUAAGACCUUGCGUUAAUGGAGCGGCCGAUAUCUGAUUAGCUUGUUGGUGAGGUAAAGGCUCACCAAGGCGACGAUCAGUAGCUGGUUUGAGAGAACGACCAGCCACACUGGAACUGAGACACGGUCCAGACUCCUACGGGAGGCAGCAGUGGGGAAUUUUGGACAAUGGGGGCAACCCUGAUCCAGCCAUUCCGCGUGAGUGAAGAAGGCCUUCGGGUUGUAAAGCUCUUUCGCGAGGGAAGAAAACUUAUGAUCGAAUAAAUCAUGAGGUUGACGGUACCUUGAUAAGAAGCACCGGCUAACUACGUGCCAGCAGCCGCGGUAAUACGUAGGGUGCGAGCGUUAAUCGGAAUUACUGGGCGUAAAGCGUGCGCAGGCGGUUUUGUAAGUCGGAUGUGAAAUCCCCGGGCUCAACCUGGGAACUGCGUUCGAAACUGCAAGGCUAGAGUGUGUCAGAGGGGGGUAGAAUUCCACGUGUAGCAGUGAAAUGCGUAGAGAUGUGGAGGAAUACCAAUGGCGGAAGGCAGCCCCC